RNAcentral lists this ribosomal RNA (460 nucleotides) under uncultured bacterium. RNAcentral's name for it is "partial 16S ribosomal RNA". It matches the Rfam family "Bacterial small subunit ribosomal RNA", at positions 338 to 795 of the family's 1533-position model. The record is from RNAcentral.
CCUACGGGUGGCAGCAGUGAGGAAUAUUGGUCAAUGGACGAGAGUCUGAACCAGCCAAGUAGCGUGAAGGAUGACUGCCCUAUGGGUUGUAAACUUCUUUUAUAAAGGAAUAAAACGAGGCACGUGUGCCUUUUUGCAUGUACUUUAUGAAUAAGGAUCGGCUAACUCCGUGCCAGCAGCCGCGGUAAUACGGAGGAUCCGAGCGUUAUCCGGAUUUAUUGGGUUUAAAGGGAGCGUAGAUGGGUUGUUAAGUCAGUUGUGAAAGUUUGCGGCUCAACCGUAAAAUUGCAAUUGAUACUGGCAGUCGUGAGUACAGUUGAGGUAGGCGGAAUUCGUGGUGUAGCGGUGAAAUGCUGAGAUAUCACGAAGAACCCCGAUUGCGAAGGCAGCUUACUAAACUGUGACUGACAUUGAUGCUCGAAAGUGUGGGUAUCAAACAGGAUUAGAGACCCUUGUAGUC